AACGAACGCUGGCGGCAUGCCUAACACAUGCAAGUCGAACGAGACCUUCGGGUCUAGUGGCGCACGGGUGCGUAACGCGUGGGAACCUGCCCUUAGGUUCGGAAUAACUCCCCGAAAGGGGUGCUAAUACCGGAUAAUGUCUUCGGACCAAAGAUUUAUCGCCUUUGGAUGGGCCCGCGUUGGAUUGGCUAGUUGGUAGGGUAAAAGCCUACCAAGGCGACGAUCCAUAGCUGGUCUGAGAGGAUGAUCAGCCACACUGGGACUGAGACACGGCCCAGACUCCUACGGGAGGCAGCAGUGGGGAAUAUUGGACACUGGGCGAAAGCCUGAUCCAGCAAUGCCGCGUGAGUGAUGAAGGCCUUAGGGUUGUAAAGCUCUUUUACCCGGGAUGAUAAUGACGGUACCGGGAGAAUAAGCUCCGGCUAACUCCGU
This 432-nucleotide ribosomal RNA is filed under the name uncultured bacterium. RNAcentral describes it as "partial 16S ribosomal RNA". It matches the Rfam family "Bacterial small subunit ribosomal RNA", at positions 29 to 506 of the family's 1533-position model. The record is from RNAcentral.